This 516-nucleotide long non-coding RNA is filed under the name Equus caballus (horse). RNAcentral describes it as "lncRNA (ENSECAG00000054036.1)". Lineage: Eukaryota; Metazoa; Chordata; Mammalia; Perissodactyla; Equidae. The record is from RNAcentral.
GAAGUAUUUACCUAAAGGAUUAUCAUAAGAAUCGUAUGAGUUAGUAUGUGUUAUGUGCUUAAGAGUGCUUGGCAGACAGUCAGUACUACCUUUGUUGUUAGAGUUUCUGAAGACUCAAUGGAACUUACAGUAAGAGGAUAAGAAUUUUGGUCUCACAUGAGGAAGCUUCUCUGGUCACCUGAUCAGCAUUUAUCACAUCGUUUCCAUGAGAAAAAUGCAUUUCAAGUUCCUACGUUUCCGCUUGUCAACACAUCCAUUAGAAAAGAAGGGACUGCCAGUUGUAUGAAACCGUGGUGCAUUUGGUUGAAAUGGAAAAUUCAAAUCUGCCUUGGAGGCAUUUCAAAUUCUCCAUAUUUAUGCCAUGGGACAGUGAACUAAAACCUGAAUUCUCCUUCCACAUUUUCAGUUUGCAUUCACAGGUCUGGAGUUAGAAACAACCCGGUGUGGUGCCAAGCCUAGGUUUUAAUGUCUAGAGGGGAAACAACUGCGAACUUCUGAACAAGGUUAUCCUGGCUU